This is a long non-coding RNA of Octopus sinensis (East Asian common octopus), 362 nucleotides long. RefSeq lists it as uncharacterized. The transcript has 3 exons. NCBI's taxonomy places the organism in Eukaryota, Metazoa, Mollusca, Cephalopoda, Octopoda, Octopodidae. The record is from RefSeq and is a predicted model, not a curated record.
UUUGGUCAACUUAAAAUGAGCGUCUGUCUAUGUGAAAUGAAAUAGCAUCAAUCUACGACUGAAUCAUGUCCAUCUUAUGUCUUCCUAAACACCUGAAACUAUGGUAACAAAAUAAAUGAAUGAACGAAAGAGCCUCAACAUUAUUGUGGCCUGCUUCAAACACAACCAUCCAUCAGAAGAAAGAAGGACACAGUGGAUAUGGUGGUCUUUGAAAAGCUGAACGCAGGAGCUGUGUCCAAAUGCCUUUGGUCAUAAGCUGAAUAUAGAUGCCGAUCUUGAGUUGAAAACAACAAUAACAAUGAGAAUGAUAAUUCCUGAAAUAUAUUGACAAAGAAUUAAAUACAGAUACAUAUAUAAAUACA